GACGAACGCUGGCGGCGUGCUUAACACAUGCAAGUCGAGCGGUAAGGCCCUUUCGGGGGUACGACGAGCGGCGAACGGGUGAGUAACACGUGGGUGACCUGCCCUCAGCUCUGGGAUAAGCCUGGGAAACUGGGUCUAAUACCGGAUAUGACUCCAUGACGCAUGUUGUGGGGUGGAAAGCCUUGUGCGGCUGAGGAUGGGCCCGCGGCCUAUCAGCUUGUUGGUGGGGUGAUGGCCUACCAAGGCGACGACGGGUAGCCGGCCUGAGAGGGCGACCGGCCACACUGGGACUGAGACACGGCCCAGACUCCUACGGGAGGGCAGCAGUGGGGAAUCUUGCGCAAUGGGCGAAAGCCUGACGCAGCGACGCCGCGUGAGGGAU
This 382-nucleotide ribosomal RNA is filed under the name uncultured bacterium. Its description in RNAcentral is "bacterial SSU rRNA". It matches the Rfam family "Bacterial small subunit ribosomal RNA", at positions 28 to 409 of the family's 1533-position model. The record is from RNAcentral.